RNAcentral lists this ribosomal RNA (1429 nucleotides) under uncultured organism. RNAcentral describes it as "16S ribosomal RNA". It matches the Rfam family "Bacterial small subunit ribosomal RNA". The record is from RNAcentral.
GUGCUUAACACAUGCAAGUCGAACUUAAAGGCCCUGCUUUUGUGGGGUGCUCGAGUGGCGAACGGGUGAGUAACACGUGAGUAACCUGCCCUUGACUUUGGGAUAACUUCAGGAAACUGGGGCUAAUACCGGAUAGGAGCUCCUGCUGCAUGGUGGGGGUUGGAAAGUUUCGGCGGUUGGGGAUGGACUCGCGGCUUAUCAGCUUGUUGGUGGGGUAGUGGCUUACCAAGGCUUUGACGGGUAGCCGGCCUGAGAGGGUGACCGGCCACAUUGGGACUGAGAUACGGCCCAGACUCCUACGGGAGGCAGCAGUGGGGAAUAUUGCACAAUGGGCGGAAGCCUGAUGCAGCAACGCCGCGUGCGGGAUGACGGCCUUCGGGUUGUAAACCGCUUUCGCCUGUGACGAAGCAUGAGUGACGGUAAUGGGUAAAGAAGCACCGGCUAACUACGUGCCAGCAGCCGCGGUGAUACGUAGGGUGCGAGCGUUGUCCGGAUUUAUUGGGCGUAAAGGGCUCGUAGGUGGUUGAUCGCGUCGGAAGUGUAAUCUUGGGGCUUAACCCUGAGCGUGCUUUCGAUACGGGUUGACUUGAGGAAGGUAGGGGAGAAUGGAAUUCCUGGUGGAGCGGUGGAAUGCGCAGAUAUCAGGAGGGACACCAGUGGCGAAGGCGGUUCUCUGGGCCUUUUCCUGACGCUGAGGAGCGGAAGCGUGGGGAGCGAACAGGCUUAGAUACCCUGGUAGUCCACGCUGUAAACGGUGGGUACUAGGUGUGGGGUCCAUUCCACGGGUUCCGUGCCGUAGCUAACGCUUUAAGUACCCCGCCUGGGGAGUACGGCCGCAAGGCUAAAACUCAAAGGAAUUGACGGGGCCCCGCACAAGCGGCGGAGCAUGCGGAUUAAUUCGAUGCAACGCGUAGAACCUUACCUGGGUUUGACAUGGAUCGGGAGUGCUCAGAGAUGGGUGUGCCUCUUUUGGGGUCGGUUCACAGGUGGUGCAUGGCUGUCGUCAGCUCGUGUCGUGAGAUGUUGGGUUAAGUCCCGCAACGAGCGCAACCCUUGUUCACUGUUGCCAGCACGUUAUGGUGGGGACUCAGUGGAGACCGCCGGGGUCAACUCGGAGGAAGGUGGGGAUGACGUCAAGUCAUCAUGCCCCUUAUGUCCAGGGCUUCACGCAUGCUACAAUGGCUGGUACAGAGAGUGGCGAGCCUGUGAGGGUGAGCGAAUCUCGGAAAGCCGGUCUCAGUUCGGAUUGGGGUCUGCAACUCGACCUCAUGAAGUCGGAGUCGCUAGUAAUCGCAGAUCAGCAACGCUGCGGUGAAUACGUUCCCGGGGCUUGUACACACCGCCCGUCAAGUCAUGAAAGUUGGUAACACCCGAAGCCGGUGGCCUAACCGUUGUGGGGGAGCCGUCGAAGGUGGGACUGGUGAUUAGG